GAAAUUUUCUUGAUUAAAUUAGACAUCCUUGCUAUCAUAUAAACUGUGAUUUUGCUAUCAAUUCCCUCCUCAAUUCUCUCAAGUUUAUUGUGGAAAUUACGUCGAGAAACCAUUGUUUCUUCGACGAUAAUUCUACUCUUACAAGACAGCACAUACUUGCUGCAACUUCCACGGAUUUCUGUCAAACCUUUGCUACCAUCUACCACAGAUCCAAAACAUUCAUCCACAGCCCUAAAACUCUACCAAACCACACCCUCAAACUGCACCCAAAACAGCCACAAAACAAGCCUAAACCGCAGCCUACAUCCAACAAUCCACCAA
RNAcentral lists this long non-coding RNA (321 nucleotides) under Musa acuminata (dwarf banana). Its description in RNAcentral is "long non-coding RNA (MACU_LNC004068)". The record is from RNAcentral. Lineage: Eukaryota; Viridiplantae; Streptophyta; Magnoliopsida; Zingiberales; Musaceae.